Aplysia californica (California sea hare) is the source of this 79-nucleotide small nucleolar RNA. Lineage: Eukaryota; Metazoa; Mollusca; Gastropoda; Aplysiida; Aplysiidae. The record is from RefSeq and is a predicted model, not a curated record.
UUGCUUGUGAUGAUGACAAAUGUCCCAAACAGCUGAUUGUCUAUGAGGCUUGUUUAUGAGCUUUUUAACCCUGAGCAAG